GACGAACGCUGGCGGCGUGCUUAACACAUGCAAGUCGAACGAAAAGAGGGAAAGAGCUUGCUCUUUCCGGAAUUGAGUGGCAAACGGGUGAGUAACACGUAAACAACCUGCCUUCAGGAUGGGGACAACAGACGGAAACGACUGCUAAUACCGAAUAAGUUCCAAGAGCCGCAUGGCCCAUGGAAGAAAAGGUGGCCUCUACCUGUAAGCUAUCGCCUGAAGAGGGGUUGGCGUCUGAUUAGCGGGUUGGAGGGGUAACGGCCAACCAAGGCGACGAUAGGAAGCGGUCCUGGGAGAUGGACGGGCAAAACGGGAAUGGGGAACGGGCCAGACUCCUAAGGGGGGCAGCAGGUGGGAAUCUUCCGCAAUGGGGGAAAGCCUGACGGCGCACAGCCCGGUGAGGGGUGGCGGCCUUCGGGUUGUAAAACUCUGUGUUCCGGGACGAAAAGGCAGAGUGCGAAGAACAAACUGCAUUGACGGUACCGGAAGAGCAAGCCACGGCUAACUACGUG
Molecule: ribosomal RNA, 512 nt
Filed under: uncultured bacterium
Lineage: Bacteria
Description: partial 16S ribosomal RNA
Rfam family: Bacterial small subunit ribosomal RNA
Source: RNAcentral